This 459-nucleotide ribosomal RNA is filed under the name uncultured bacterium. RNAcentral describes it as "partial 16S ribosomal RNA". It matches the Rfam family "Bacterial small subunit ribosomal RNA", at positions 338 to 795 of the family's 1533-position model. The record is from RNAcentral.
CCUACGGGUGGCUGCAGUGAGGAAUAUUGGUCAAUGGGCGGGAGCCUGAACCAGCCAAGUCGCGUGAGGGAAGAAGGUACAGCGUAUCGUACACCUCUUUUGUCAGGGAACAAAGGCGGGGACUAGUCCCCGGAUGAUGGUACCUUAAGACUAAGCAUCGGCUACCUCCGUGCCAGCAGCCGCGGUAAUACGGGGGAUGCGAGCGUUAUCCGGAUUUAUUGGGUUUACGGGGUGCGAAGGCGGCCUUUUAAGUCAGCGGUAAAAGCCCGGGGUUCAACCCCGGCGUGCCGUUGAAACUGGCGGGCUGGAGUAGGAGGGAAGGAGGCGGAAUGAGGGGUGUAGCGGUGAAAUGCUUAGAUAGCGCGCAGAACCCCGAUUGCGAAGGCAGCGUACCGGCUCCAGACUGACGCGGAGGCACGAAAGCGUGGGUAUCGAACAGGAUUAGAUACCCGGGUAGUC